RNAcentral lists this ribosomal RNA (253 nucleotides) under uncultured bacterium. RNAcentral describes it as "partial 16S ribosomal RNA". It matches the Rfam family "Bacterial small subunit ribosomal RNA", at positions 524 to 776 of the family's 1533-position model. The record is from RNAcentral.
UACGUAGGUGGCAAGCGUUGUCCGGAUUUAUUGGGUUUAAAGGGUGCGUAGGCGGCCCCAUAAGUCAGUGCUGAAAUAUCCCGGCUUAACCGGGAGGGUGGCAUUGAUACUGCAGGGCUUGAGUACAGAUGAGGUAGGCGGAAUUGACGGUGUAGCGGUGAAAUGCAUAGAUAUCGUCAAGAACACCGAUAGCGAAGGCAGCUUACCAAGCUGUAACUGACACUGAGGCACGAAAGUGUGGGGAUCAAACAGG